This is a long non-coding RNA of Apis laboriosa (Himalayan honeybee), 593 nucleotides long. RefSeq lists it as uncharacterized. The record is from RefSeq and is a predicted model, not a curated record. The transcript is spliced from 4 exons. NCBI's taxonomy places the organism in Eukaryota, Metazoa, Arthropoda, Insecta, Hymenoptera, Apidae.
AGGAGUUGAAGUUCAAUGCUAUGGAAGAUUCAAGAAGUCUUAGAAAAUUAAAAGUUCAAUCUUAUAUUAAUUUAUUCGCGUGGAAAAAGAUUAUUUUUCAAUUUACAUGGAGUAGGUAAAGUUCAAGUAGAAUUAGAAUGCGUGAGGAGCAGAAGUAUAGGAGUUGAAGAAUGCUAUGGAAGAUUCAAAGUCUUAAAUUAAAGGUUCAAUCAUACAUUAAUUUAUUCGCGUGGAAAAAGAUUAUUUUUCAAUUUACAUGGAGUAGGUAAAGUUCAAGUAGAAUUAGAAUGCGUGAGGAGCAGAAGUAUAGAAGUUGAAGUUCAAUGCUAUGGAAGAUUCAAAGUCUUAAAUUAAAGGUUCAAUCAUACAUUAAUUUAUUCGCGUAGAAAAAGAUUAUUUUUCAAUUUACAUGGAGUAGGUAAAGUUCAAAUAGAAUUAAAACGAGUGAGGUGGGAAUUCUUCAACACUCUCUGAAACGUGUCCUUAAUAAAUCAAAAAGAACGCAUGCUUUUCCACGGAAUAUCUUUAAUUGUGAUAAAUCUUACUAAUCCCUAAAGCACAUAAUUCCGAGAAUGAUCGCUUUUUGUUUUCGU